CAGCAAACAAUUGAGAAAAUAUAACACGGUAUGAUUAGAUGAAAACCAAAAUUUCCAGCAGUUACCACGAUCUCCACGAAGAACGACUGCCAGGGCGCACGAUUGGAAACUGAAGACGGACGUGGGAGAUGAUCGGAGGAGAGAUGGCUUCAUCACUAUUCACCCCACUCUCAAUCUACGGUUCAUAUAAAAGGAGAAAACGGAAAGAGGAGCAGAGCAAACUCAAACCCAGAAAGAGGAAAAAAUUGGUAUCAAAAUCGGUGAUUGCAGAUAAGGUAUUGUGUGCAGAGUGGAUUCUCAAUCAAACCCAAAAGGCAGAGUAAAAUAGGUGUAACUUGGGCGACAGAGUGGCAGAUUCAGUGAAGUGGGUGGUUACCGGAAGUUUCUCAUGACCUCUUCGUGCAAAUUAUGCUUCCAAAAAAUUAAUCCAUGAGGCAGGGGCUCUCGACACAGUUCCUGUAAGCUCUUUGUUACUGUUACGAUUUCAAUCCUCUUUGUUACCGCUUGACUUUCUUUCAAUUUUUGUAGGUAAAUGUAUGGGAGAAUUCUAGACAUUGUAAAAGUUGGUUUCCUCUAAUAUUAGUUGCAAGUAGUGUUUCUGUCUCCUAUGUUCUUUUUCCUUCAAUUAAUCAAUUGGUCUGCAAUUUAGGGGGAAGCAGGUGCUUCAAUCUCAUUGUUUUUUUUUUUUGGUAUCAAGUAGAGAAGGUACUGUUUGAUUGAGAAUCUGCAGUAAAUUGGUUUUGCUGAAUAAGGAACUAACAUACCCAAGAGUGAGUGGAAUCAUGUUCAGUUUGAAUGAAAAUUUGAUUUGAGGAGUAAUCAACCAUUGACUCUCCCUUUUGUGUUGCAUAUUCCUGAUCAUUGGUUCCAGAUCACUUUUUCUUUCGGUUUGCUCAGUUAUUCUUCUUCUACUUAAAAUGGAUAGUGGGCCGAGAAGUGACCGUGGAGCUCAAGAACGACUUUGCAAUUAGGGGUACCUCUUAGUGAUUGUUCAUUUCAUGUGUAUGAUGUACCAAGGUCAUUGCAUAAUUUGAUGCUUAGAAGGGGUUGGUCUCUUUCAUUACUAAAUGUUAUUGUAGUAUUCUGCUUCUUUUUAAUUUCUUUUGUUCCAGGCUACUUACUGUUUUCGAAUAUCAUGAUGGCCUCAAUGAAAUUUGUACAUUUCAGACUCUCACUUUUGUGUUGCAUUUUAUUUUGUUUUAUAUUUGUUUGAUUUAGGUGCAAAGCCGGUGAGAUUGUAGUAUGUUUAGGUUCUUCGGCUUUUGUUCCUGACUAUGAGUUACUUAUGUUGGAUUUAGUAAGAUCGACCACCGCAGAGGGCAAAGGAGAAUAUAUUGGUUACUGGUCAGCAUAUAUAUAUAUAUAUAUAUAUAUAUAUUUCAAGAAGUAAAAGAAGAUAGUAAGUAUUGCUGGAAGCACCACAGUUGCAGGUGAUGUUUUGUUUUCUUUGGGCCAGGUUCCUUCAUCACGCUCUCACACACCUAAUGAUGACCAGGGACCUAACCAUAUUCAUGUACAAGAGGCAGAAAGGCAGAGUAGAAAUAAUCCCCCAGGAGAGACGAGACAAUCAAUGAGUUCUUCACUCUCUGGUUCAUCUCACUCUUCCCGACCCAAUGAAGACCAGGGACAUGCUCAGCUUCAUGCAUUAGAGGGUGAAAGGCAGCGUAGAAAUAAUCGUCAAAGAGAGAGACGACGAUUAUUGAGUUCUUCGCAACUAGAGGAAAGUUUAGCCCGAAGACGUGCCAAUUAUCAAAGACUACAGCAAAUGGAGCCCACAAGUGUAUUAAAUCAAGUGGAAGCAAUGGCCGGUAACUUACUGAGUGCAUGUUCUGAAACACAAACAUCUUCAACGUAUUGUAUACGUGUUUUGCAUAAUUUUCUUUCUACUUUCAUGAACAAAAAUAAUAUUCUAUAUAUGUAGGUUGGAAAAAUUAACAGUUUUGAUAGAAAUAUAUUUUUUUUUUCAGGAA
This is a long non-coding RNA of Rosa chinensis, 1970 nucleotides long. RefSeq lists it as uncharacterized. The record is from RefSeq and is a predicted model, not a curated record. NCBI's taxonomy places the organism in Eukaryota, Viridiplantae, Streptophyta, Magnoliopsida, Rosales, Rosaceae. The transcript has 8 exons.